ACAAGCUGAAAUAUCAAAGUAAAGCGCUAAUUCUAGGCUAACAUGAUUCAUGGCGAAGAAAAUCCAGUGCUUGCUGCCAUUAAAAAUUAUACACCAUCAAAAUUCUUGGUUUACAGUGGAUUAGCUAUGAAACCAUUUCCCACAUCAAAACAGGUAAAACCUAAAGAAAACAACUCCGGCACUUACUCUUCCUUUGCGUUGAGAUUACAGAACCAGGUGCAGAUGGUAAUGUGCUUAUUCAGUUUGGGAGAAGAAUAAGUAGUACAUCCCUAACACGGUGCCUGUAGUUGUUACUAGAGCUUGGGUCUCAUUAAGGCAUCAAGCAGACAAAACACGCUGCUAACAAUUUUUGUCAAGACUUCCAUGUAUAAAGCACUGCACCAGCUAGCCAAGUCCUCCAAAAAGUGAUCACAUGAACUGGAUUCAAAUUGCAAGAAUAAUGUUCAUAAUUCAGACUUGGAUUCAGCGUCUUCCUCCAGUGAAUUAUCAGUUUGAUAGUCCUGUGAUUGGUUGGGGGACACAAGUUCUUGAGGAUUUACUUCAUCACCUAAGAUUUUUGCCUGUGAUUGGUUGGGGGAAACAAGUUCUUGAGGAUUUACUUCAUCCCCUAAGAUUUUUGCAGUGAAGUGUCUCGCCUCAGAGUCAAGAUUAACCCAUUCCGAAACUAUUCUUUUUGCGCCCUGAAAAAAACCGAGAAAUGAAUAGAUUCUUGAAAACAUAGAAAGUGUUGUGAGCAAAUGAAUGAUGAAACGUGGUGUUGGUUAUAGAAACAAGUCAUAUUUGUAGAAUCAUGGCUCCAAAGGAAGAAUCACCUGAAGCUUGGGUUCCUUUGUCAUGGGAUUGUUGCAAAGAUCAAUAGUUUUUGCUCUGGAUUUCGUAGCAUUACCACACCAUGAUUCGCACCACAACCAUUCUUGAGGCAGUGAAAAGAUGGGUACUGUAUGCUGAGCAUAGUUCGGAAGAUCCUGAACAAGGAAAAGGAAGCAACCUUUUAACACAAUCUAGUACGUGAAAGAAUAUCACAGACACAAAUAAAACAGUACCCAACAAGAUCCAAUACUGUGUGAGGAUAUCCAUUCCAAUUGCAAACUCUCAUAUAAUUAUGUAUACAGCUGAGCCAAACCUUAUUAUAACACAUAUACUACCUGUUGUACUACACAGGCAAUAAGCAACAACUUGAAUGGAUAUCCAAGUAUUUAAUGGAUAUACUGCCUGUUGUACUACACAGGCAAUAAGCAAUAAGCAACACAUAAACCUGGAAGACUGUCUCUGGUAGUCAACGGUGGAUAAUUGAAUGCUUUUGGUGAUAAUACAAAAACUUUUUCAAGCAGUCAACAACAAUCAUUAGAGUUCCAAGUAUUUAAUGAAGAUUAUAGAUAAUGUACCAAGUGACAAUACAUACAGGCAAAAUUUAAUAAAGCAAAUUUGAUGAUGAUUCCUCCACUAAAUGGCAUGAUAAAGUUUCCUCCUUGGAAAGUGGAACCCAGUAAAUGGACCCAUGUCCAGAAAUAACAGCCUGCUAAUGAAUUAUAGCAAAAACUGUCCAUGCAUAAUUGCAGCCAGCUAGCUGCAUCUCCAGCUACCUCCCACGCAGCAUUGCUGCCAGCAAGCAGUCAAUUUUCUAAACUUGAUUAGAAUAUAUAAAAUUGAGCAGCACUCCAUCACCUGAAGGGUGGGCAUGGACCAAUUGCAUGAAGUUUUAUAGCCAUUAGACCCACAAAUCUCAUGGCUAAAAACCUUCAUAUGACAUAUUCAUGUACCAUAUUUUAGGACACCAUGAGUACAUUGUUUGUUUAUUCCCGAAUUCUCUUUUUCCUUUAUUUUUCUUGUUUUAUGUAGAGCAGGCUCAUGCAAAUGUAAUGCAGGAGCAAUGAAAGAACUUCAAAAAAACAAUUGUUUCAGAAAAAUUACAUUUAUUUUACUAGAGAUACAAUUUUAUCUUAUUUAUAAGUUAGGUACUUAGAUUUACUGUGACAUUAAUUAAUUAGAAAGUUUACUAUUUUAGGAGUUUAUUCUAUUUCCUACUUGGUUUUGGUCUAUUUUACUUAGAUGCGUGUAACUCAUACCUAGGAAGAUGAAGAUGAUGUCAUGAAUUGCAGAAAUAUUAUGAUGAAUAACUUUAAAAUGAUGAAUUUGCCAGAAAAUCUUCUCUCCAUUCUUGUCCUCUAGUGCUCCAGGUGAUCUCUUAUCACUCUCCCACUCAAAGCAAAAUAAAGAUAAUUUGUGUGCGUGAAGUUUGAAUUUGUUUACUCUUAACAUUUUCUCUUCAUAUCCGAUCAACUAAGCCAAACAAAAUCAUUCAAAUUCAGAGAGAACAGUGACACAGGAAAUUCUAUACACAACAACAAUUUUGACAGAUCACUGAAAUAGUAUGGUAUGCGAACUAAGUGAGCACAUCAAACACAGUGAUUAUAAGAAAAAUCAGGUUGACUAGUUACCUGAUCCAAAUUUGAAAGACUAUUUGGAUCCUUGCUCAGUGUUUCAUAGAAAACCCUUAGAUUAUCUCCUGCAGCUGUCUCUCGAAAUUUAACCAGAUCAACAAUGUACAAAGCACUGGAUAAGGAAGAGCACAUGUCAAGCUCAUGGCUGGGUCUAAGAACUGAACCAACUCUAAAGAAUAAAUUAACAAAAAAGAUUGCUUACCUGAUAUGAUAUGGUCUUCCCCGCAAAUGUUCUUUCCAGAAUCCCUGUACCACACAAAAGAAUGGGAAAAGAUAAGGAAACAGUGAUUAGAUGGCAAGUUGCCUAGGCCUUCCAUGGCACAAAAUGAAUUUAUGGCAAACUAUCUUUAAAAGGGGGGAAGACUAAUCAGUGAAGUAUACUUGGCUCCAAAAUCGAUAUCCAUCCAUAUCCCUGUUGUUAUCACAGAAUGGUGUAUAAGCAAGAGGUCUUCCUUUUAUAUCCAUGUCAUACAGUUCUCCCAUGUCUGCUCGCACAACCUGAUCAGCAUCAACAAAUAUAACCUGCAUAUGGAACCAUUGAUGCGUUUUUAAGCAAAUGUUUAAUAAAUAUGGAGUCAAUAGCAAGAGAAUACAACCAAGUUUUGACAAAAAAGAAAGAGAAAAACUGCUAUACCCUCUCCAAAGAAAGUGGAAAGAUAACAUCAAGGAACAAAAUCUUAUAUGCCCAAAUAAUUCGCUGCUUUUCUGUCUGCUUAUGCAACCAUGAUGGCCAUUUAUAAGUGACCAGUUCGUACUCAAAACCAUACUCUUGUGCCAUAUGUGGAAUCACAUCCUGCACGAUUCAUUAACAACCAGAGAAUGCACACAAGUCAGACAAUAAAAUUAGAAAACAAUAUGCGAGUGACAACUAUAGAUGAAAUAAAUACAACCUUAAAUUGCGGAGAGAGAUAGUUCUUUAUAAACCAAAAUUUCACUGGACGCUGGGUGUUCUUCCAGACACUUAGAAUCAUGAUUUUAAGGAAACGUUCAUAUCUGCCACGCUCAAAACACAUAAUGAAAUCAUUAUGAUAUUACAUUAACCAAGCAUUAUGAGGUGUACAAGCAGAUGAGUGUGAUAGUGAGACCCAGAGUAAAUAGGUCCAAUAAACGGGCUGCUGCAGCUCACACUUUUUUUGCUAAUACUAAGUGUGAUAGUGAGACCCAGAGUGAAUAGGUCCAAUAAAUGGGCUGCUGCAGCUCACACUUUUUUUGCUAAUACAACAAUUGCAUUGAACAAACAGCAAAUGUGUGUGUGUGUGUUACCAGGAAGAAAACUGACAGCUAUACAGGUUUAUCUAUGAAGCGCACAAAUGAAAGUUCCUCAGUUCCACAUACAAGUUCUCAUUCAAAACUUUCAGCACAUGGCUGUUUGAGCUUGUUGCUUACAUUGUGAUCACAGAACAGAAAACAAUCUCAGAAAAGAUUCAUAGGGGCUAAUUUUAUUAAAUCCAGAACAGUUAAUCCUCUAAAAUUUCGCUUAGCUCACUUUGGUUUUUCAAAUUUCUAGAAAUAAAAAAGAUAUACAUAAUGCAGAAUACAUUAAGGUUCUGUUUGGAUACCAGGCAGGAUUGAGAAUCAAGGAUUCAUAAUCUGUUCAUUUAGCAAAAUUGGAAGGGAAAUUGGAAUUGAAAUGGCUAAAUGGGAACCCGAAAGAACUUUCAAUACAAUUCUAUAUCCAGGCGGUAAGCAUUUCUACUAUUUAUAAUCUCAUUCCCAUUCCAAUAUUUAUAAUCUCAUUCCUGCAUUUUCAUGCUGGUAACCAAAAAGGACUAACUUCACAUCAGACAGCAGAAGACAACAUAGAAUAGAAGACAAGCACAAAUACGGAGAAAAUAAGAAAAGACUUACAGAUGCCCAGAAGCAAUAGAGAAGAUAUUAAUAGUUUUUCCAUGCCGUCCACUCUUCUCAUGCUCCUAAAGGAAUAAUUUUUAACCAAUCACCAUCUAAAAGAAUAAUGAAAGCAGAUGUGCACCACUGAAUUUGUUUUCCAGUGCUGGUAGAUGUAAUAGUCAGUUUUCCAUUAAACAAAGCAACUCAAGAGCUAGUUCUCAUAGCCAAAGAUAAAAUUUUAACAGCACACUAAAACAUCAGAAAAUGACUUGAGAAAAUGAUUGACAAAGAAGAGAACUUGGAUUUUCAUGACAGCAACCAUUCUGAUACCCUAUGGACUGUAAAAAACAAAAUUAUCCAGUCUUCAAACAAAAUUAGCUAAUAUUCCAUCUGGACUGUAAAAACAGUCCACUAUUUGAUUUUUUCCCAUCCCUAAAUGUCAGUCCGUACUAUAAAGUUGAUGAAUGGUUGUUUACUGCCCCAUUGUAUGAUGCAUCAACAAUCUAAAUAUAUCAUUGAAUCAAAAGGUGCAUCUUUAUUAUUAGGGGCAAAUUUGACACUGUGCAACACUUACCUACAUUUUGAAUAAUUGCUGAACACAAUGUGCAAAACUCAAAAUAAACUAUUAUUAGAACCAGAGGUAGUAUAAAAUCCAGAAAGAAAUGACAGGGAACCAUAAAGAUGCCCCUACUUGGUUGGAAAAACAAUUCAUUAAGAACCAAACAGAAAGCAGCAAAGAAUAGCAGGGAAACAAACAAUUGUCCAACGAGUACAUUAAACAGCCAGAAAAAGAUGAUGAAAGAUCAUAUUUCUAAAAUCAGCGCACUAUGAAUCCACAAACGCUAUAGAGAGGACUAUAAGUAUAAAAUCAGAGAGCCAGCACAAUCCACCAAGGCACUGUGAAAAUCUGAAUAAUUUAAGUAUAACAGCAGAAACAAGUAAGUGAACAAAAAUUAACUCACCAUUAAAGCACUCUCAUUCUUCUUGGAAAGCCCGCCGCCGCCAAUAAAGCCAGAAGCCCAUUUAAACAAAUUGGAGUUCCAGCUAUCAUGAGUUCCCUGUAAAAAUUUCCCCAAAACCAUUCUAAGGAUGCAAGACUUAACCAAAUUAUCCAGCUGUGGUUGUCCUUGAAAUUAGUAAUAAUUAUAAGCCAAUAUAACAAGAACUGACCUUCCUUUGUGAAUUGUUAUCAUCAUCACUUGAAAUGAGCAGUUUCUCAUGCUCCAUGCCCUUUUUCUUCACCACUUCUAGAUGAACUACCUUGCCUCGCAAAUCAUUAAUAGUGAUAAGUUUCGACAGAUGCUUUUCCUGACUUCCAUCACCACCUUCCCUAAAAGCAUAAAGCUCAGAGCUUCGACCUGGAGCAAGUUGAAGAUACCACACCCCAGGAGAGACUUUCAUUUGCCAAUAACCCAAAUUGGCCAUCACAAGUGUAUCAACCAAGUGAGGAUUACUCUUAGUUCCAAGAAUUAGCUGAAGUCCUCGGGGGGGUUCAUGAUCUUUCUCUGAACAAUGACCUAAAUAAAACAGUGCACAAAUAAGUAUGAAAGAAUUGGUAGUCAUAUGAUGAAACUUACAGGGAAACACCAAAUUAUAAUAAGAAAUUACUCAAAAGAAACAGAAUCUAACCAGUAAGAACAAGUGCUUCAAGUUCAAAAACUGCUUGCAAUGUUCUAGUGUCACCCAGGUUCUCAAGCAAAAUAUUAUCCAAAUCAUGGCUGAAACAUUUAAAACAUUCAGCAGCAACAAGAAUAAUAAUAAUAAUAAUAAUAAUAAGCCACUGAGACAGUAAGAUUAUGUUUGCAAAACUAAAAUUAAUCCCCUACGCUUUAGUAGAAUAUAUACAAUAAAGAUGGCGACAGUAUAAAGAUGAUUUAAAAUGUAUUUGACUAGUAAAGGAACAUACACAGCAAUAACAGGCUCAACAAGCCAGGGCUCAGGAACAUCAAGGUUCAUGGUAAGAGUCUUCGAUAAUGGCAUAUUUGCAAAAAAUGCUUGAGGGCCAUUUACUGUUAAAUCAGUGCUGCUGAAAUCAUCCUGAAAAGUCAUAGCACAACUAAGAUACAAUGCAUUGGAACCUGAAAUUACCAUUCAUAAUCAAACAUAUAUACCAUGGUUGGGACCACAUAUCUAUAGUAAUUCUUCAGCGGAAGAUCAACAAGAGAACUCUGCAAGAAACCAAAAAUGUUAGUUCCUCGACAUGUAGAAAGAGACAACAAAAUGUUGAUAAAAAGCUCAUAAUGAAGAAGUUCAGCUAAAAAGCAUAUCCCAUGUGAGGCAAUGUCUCAGCUAGCAGUGCAGAUGCAAGCUAAGGCACUAAGCACCUAAGAAAAAUGUAAAGUACAUAGAAGAAGACAGCAUACAUGCCUUACAAAUCCAUCAUAUGUUUAGGCAAUUUUGCAAUUCAUGAUACAGAAUAAAAACUAAGAAAAAGUGAGAAAAAAAUAAUUAGAAGCAAUCUAGGAACAUGAAUCCAAAAAGAAAACGAGAGAGAGAGAGAGAGAGGUCAUUUGCUGGCAUUGUUUCUGCCAGAACAAGGCCCAGCUAAGCAUAAUAUGGAAAAUAAGUCCUAAUCUUUCACCAGAAAAUAAAGACACAGAGGUCAAUGCCUGUAAAGAAGUGGCUGCUCCCAGCCAGAUGGCAAUCCAAACAAACUUCUCAAGGUGACUGUUUAUAUGGCAGCAUCUUUCUAAUAAAAGAGUGUCAGAGAGGCAAAAACCUUACUAUAUUGUUUGAGAAAAGAAAACCUAUUUGGCCUACUUGGAUCAGGUUGCCUUUGCAUCUAUAAAGCAGACACCAAUGGAUUGUGAUCAAAUCCCAGCUUCCAAGUUAGCAGCUACUAAUUUCAAAAGAUUAAAAAUAUUCAGGGAAUUAAUUCAACUUGUCCUUUUUAUUUUAGACUCCAUCUCCAAUUUGUCCCUAAAUAUAGGGUCCAUCAAUCUAUCCUUCUAUUAGACAUUCUAUCCAAACUAACAGAAAUGCACAUACAUGAAAAACUCAAAAGUCCAACCUGAUUUACUAAAAGAAAUUGAACAGAGAAAAAAGAGGAGGAAUUUUAACACCAUGCAACAAUUCAUUAUUUUUCAAAUUAAUUUUAUAAAUAAAUCAGGUUAGGUUUGGGUUUCUCAUAUAAGGGUAUUUCCAUCAAUUUGCAUGAGGACAUCCACUGAAACGAUAGAUUGAAAAAUGACCUAGAAUAUAAGGACAAAUUAGGAGCAAUUUUACUUUGAGAACAGAUUGGAGACAAGACUUGGAAUAUAAGGAGACUAGACUUAAACUAUAAGGAUAGAUUAAGCUAAUAUCCCAAAAUAUUCAAAUACUUUUCCACAAAUCUCUAAUCAGCCACAGUAAUCUUCAUCUACCUUCAGAUGUUAACAUACCACCGUUUAGAGCAUGUCAUGCUUCAGAUGUUAACAUACCAACAUUUAUGGCAUGCCAUACUAUUCCUUUUCUUUUCAUGGUUCUUUCAGAAAUUAUAUCUCGUUGUCUACCCACGAACUGCAUGCAAGAUCAUUCAUGUGGACUUUCAUAAUGUGCUAGAGAGGAUUAUAAAAAGUUAAUCAAAGCAUGACUAUAAAAGAGAAUUUUAUUCGAAUUCUACAGCCACCAUAUAAAUAAUACAUUCAACAAAAAUAGCUUCAAUUUUGCAGAAUGCAAUGCAUGUUGUGUGGAAUAGAGUUGGAUACAUAAUUUUAUUUUGAUACAUGAAAUCCAUCAUGGAUAUAAUUAAAAAAAAAAUACAGUGCUUUUUUAUCCUGUAAAUUCGUUCACUUCAUGCAAUUGCAGUAAAUCACAUAUCAUCCAACAGGUCUCCAAUCAGGCCAACUGAACCAUUGUUUGCAUGGAUUUGAAUCUUCAUGUCAGAAAACUAGCAAAACCUAAAUGCCCCAAUCCCAGUAAUAGCACUCUCUAAUUUUUACUGCUAAAUACAUAAACCACUAGGACUUAAAAAAAAAAAUUAUUAUGAACUAUUACUGGGUUUACAUAGAUACUGAUGCAAACUUGCUCUUUCAAUUACUUUUCCAAGCCGAUUGCCUAGAAAAAACUUGGCCUGCGCUUUUAUGGGUGCAAUAGAGGUUUAAAGAGAUAUAUGAUAUUCCUAAUUCUCAAGCUUCUACAGGUUUCCUUCAAUUUCUUAGUUGAACUAUUGUGACGGGAGUUUAAUUUUUGUCAAAAUCAUAAAACUUUUGGCUUUAAUAGGAUAAAAACAGAAUCUAAACUAUUCAACUAUACUUUGUAGGUAUAGAAAUCAAAGCCCACGUUUCCAACAUCCAAGUCAUUGUUUCACAUUAGGCCCUUCCUACAUAUACAAUAGAACUAAUCAACACCCCCAGAAGUUGAUGCAACAACUUUUUCUAACAACAGAGAACAUUCAUCAGUUUUCAUUCACAACACCAAAACAGAUCCAUACGCAUUGGUGCAGAGGACUGGUCAGACAAGGGGUACAUAAAGUCAAACUCUAAAGUGGCAGUGAAAAUUCUUCAUUUCAUUUAAAUGAGAUCAAAAUUGCCAAUUCGAAGGGAAAAGGCCAUGUCAGGUUGAUCUGUGCUUAAAGCAGCAAACCACCAUAGGAUCCAUUGGCCUCCAAAUUGUAUCAUCUUGGUUUAAUGGCUUUCAGAAACCACCAGAUAUGUUACAAGAAGGUAUUCAAGUUAUAUGGUUGUAGUGGCCCAAGGCUUUCAAAACUGCAGGUUGCCAAACCAGUGUAACAAAAUAAGAAAUAAGAAAAGAAAAAUGUACAAUUUGGUAAAUUUUAGCUCACCAUAGGGUUUAGCACGAUUCUCAUGCUUGGUUGAACAUAUUUCCUUAGAACUCUAAGAAGUGAAGAAACCUUCUGACCAGCUGCGCUUAAAGGAUCAACAACAGCAUCAAUAUGAACACUGGAAUUUUCAUUAUCUAUAAUAACAGCACUGCAAACAAGAAAUGAUUGUAUUAGAUUUCAAGAGCAAUCCAUUGUCAAGAAAUCAAAAGAUGACAAUCUGUAGGAAAUUACAGAAUGAUAUAUGAGAAUAAACUAUUUCCAUCAUGGUGGUCUUCCAUGAAUCCAUUACUUUAUUUUAUCUUGAACAUGCCUUUUGCAUUUGAAUAAGAAAUCUCAGUAAUUACUAAUUUUGUCCAUAAACUUGGGGAUACAAGAAGCAGGUGAUAAUCAUUGCAAUGUUGAUGAGGCAACUCUACCAAAUAGGAUUUUCAAAGGUAGGUUCACAGUGAUAAAUUGUCAGAAUUAAACAUACAAUUACCAAAUAUGAGAACAAUGUUGACUGAAUUAUUUAUCAGAAGCAAAAGAAAAAAAAAACAUGACAAAAAAAAAGUGUGAAAUACUACAGUCUGAGAAAAGAGAUGAGAUAAAAUUUGUGAUCUAGCAUUAAGUGGGAUGGCGGCGAAUGUACUAAGCAGGGCAAUUUCUCUUUCAUAUUUGUCAGAUUCAUCAGAUAUUUGACAAAAUUUGUAGUUAAUGUUGAAUAUCACCCAAUUAUAUAUACAUGGGUCACCAUAUAUUCACCAUAACAGUCAUUGUCAUUGCUACACAGCUCAAACGGAUAACAGCGGAAGUCUUCUCCCAAAAACAGGUGGGAAAAAAAACAAUCUAUGGGAUGGCAAAUAAUUCUUACCUAUGUUCAGCAUUCAAAAUCUCAAAGCGUGCACUUUCUGAACUUCUUUCCCGCAUUGCCAUUGCAGAUGAUACAUACAUUAUAAUAUCGCUGACAAAUUUGCUGCAAGUCGCAUGAGAAAAAAUAACAUAAAAUCCCCAAUGGGAAUGGAUAGGAUAUGAAAUGUUUUGAGAAGGAAUGUCAUCUAUUAAACUUCACAAAUUAAAAACUAAUCUUUGUUGAACAGAAACUACCAGCAAUGGCAUAAUUGGAAGUACAGGAGAGAGCAAAAAACUUGCAGAUAAAAAGAUUCAAAACAUUAGUCACCAAAAGUGAAUCAUACCAAAAUUGCCAAAGAGCUUCAGCCUCAGAUAUUUACUAUUUUCUUCAAUUUUCACCUAAAUUUACAGGAUCUUUUGUAGGGAGAGUUAGCUUAGUGAGUUUACAUCACAUUGAGUAGGUUCACACUUAUCUGGACCUUAUUAAGGGAUGAUCAACUUGUAGUCAAUUGGUCAACCACAAAGCUUUCUACUGGUGGAAGCGACCUCCUUUCACUUUUCAAUGAAACUUUAUUCCAGUUCUCUCAUACUACCUAAUAAAUCACUAGCUAAACCACUACAUUCCUAACCCUCAAACAACGGCUGCAUCACAUUCUACCCUCAUUCACUUGUGCAUACUCCCUAUACACUAUCUGAUAUUCUCACCUACAAUGAUGUUGGAGUUCCUUAAGUGUUGUCUACAUUUCCUCCCUCAACACUCUGUAUACAAUUAUCGAUAAUACAUCUCCAAAUAAAUUGAUUAAUUCCAUUAAAAGAACCCUACAUUAUCACCUAUUUUAAGAUCCAUAAACAAGGGGGUAAAGUGCGUGAAAUUAAACCAGUUGGCUAGUCAAGCUGAGAGCCUAGUCACUCCAACCUUCUGCAAAUGUCAAGGCAGCAGAAACACUAUCUGAAGAAACUAGAAUGAUAUGUUCUUGGAAAUGCUUUAACCCGGUGUGCUGGAUCAAUUGGAUAAAUAAGAUAAAAAGGAAAAAACUGUGUGGAAUUUCAAAUCAAAGAUGUGAAUUCAGCUCAACAAAACAUUGUGCCAAGAAUGAACACAAAUGAAAAGAAAAUGAAGUGAGCAAGGAAAAAAAAUUCAAAAGUGUUCUAGGAUACAGAACAAUGGUAUGUAAACAAUUAUAGCAACUUUCUAAAAUAGAAAUGGGCCAUGGCAAUAACUUCAAUAUUCCAUCUAACCAUUCACUAACUUCAUUUUAACAACUUCCCCACCACAUGCCCAACACCUCCACGCCCUAGCCAUUAAAAAAAGUUUGUUCCCCUCUUGCUUUAUGAUGGACAAGGUAUUAUUAGAAAACAUAUAUAAGAAUCUCAGCUACAAUUAGAAUUCUCUGAAGGGAAAAACUCAGAGACUGUGGUAGUUGGGUAUGGAAGUGGGUGAAGAUCCAGGAGCAUAAAACAAACAAACAAACCUUGUUAGCAUGUCAGGGUCUACAUCCUGCCACUGCACUUCUUCAAUAAUUUCUCCAAUGUGCUUUACUCUUUGCUUGAACUCCAUCGUCUCUAGAAGAUGUAAAUCAUGACUCAAAAAGGUGCCUUCAUCACCAGGAAACAUCACCUAUCCAAUGUUGAAGAAAAGUUAAAAACAUGAAACUGCACAACAUUGACUGAAAUUAAACAAAUUUUGAAAAACAUUGUGUGCAAAAAAAUAAAACAACAGAAAGAAAAAAAGAAAAGGAUGAGAAAUUAAACCCAUUUAACAACUUUCUGGUUAUGUUUGAGAGUCUAAUUAACUCACCCUUCCAUUGGUAAUGACCGCAUUCACUCCAGAUUCAAGCCCAAGAAGCAGGUAAAAAAAUUGUGACACCUGCAUAUCAUUGGAAAAAUUGAUGCUAUUUUCUCUUGCUCAUGGCAACAAAUGCAAAAUACCAACAUCGGGCAAACUCAAACAUAAAAAACUAAGAAAUGUUAGGGAAAAAAAGAUAGCAAGAAUUAGUAGAAGCUAGGACUACAUUUAUAAAAGAUCAUAUCUAGCAAGACCAAAAUCUUCAUUUAAAAGAUCUAUCCAUUUUAGACAAACAGAAGAUGAAAAUUAAGACAAUUUCAUGCAUGCAACAAAUACCAAUUAGCACAAAUAACAGAAAUAUAUAUACCUUAUUCAAUUGAUUUUUCACUUUGUCAGCAGAAAAUUCAGAAAGGAUGGACUUGUAGGCCUUCUGUGGUAGCUCAUUUGCAUCAGCCAGAUCAUACACCUUGUCUAUAAACGUUUGAGUGCUUUCAGCUGCUACAGAUGAUGCCAGGAUGUACUUUUGCUCAUAAAAUGAACAUAAAUGCUCCAAAAAGUUCAACACACUUUUCUUAUGACUGCAUGACACCAUAAAGAAAACAAUUAGGGCUAAUAUCAAACAAAGUUUUAUUCAUGCUGUCAAAAUAAUUUUGACUUAACAAACCUGUAAGAGGCAGUGGUGAUUUCAAAAACCUUCACAAGAAGGAGACCAGGUAAAUCAGAAUCUUGACUGGAACUAAAGAGGACACCCAAGCGAGCACCCUUAGACCCUUCUAUCUGCAUCAUAAUGUGAACAUUAAAAGAUAACCAAUGGUUGUUAUGGAGAUUUCCAACAAAGAUAAAGAUAAAUGACAAUAAAGAAAAUGAACAAAUAGAAAUACGAUUGUAAUAAAAAGCGCAACCAGAUAGCGUAUUCCUUCAUGAAGCAAGUUUAUCCCCUUCUUUGAUGUGAUGUCAACAGCAAGGAGAUGAGUUACAGGUUUCACAUCAUCUACAGCUAGAAUAUUAGGGUUAGAAAGAAGUCAGAUUACAAUAACCAUUAGUGAUUCAGUAAAAUUUCACUGUUCUCAGCGUAGAUUCUGCUUACUUCCAGGGGAAUGCAAGAAGUUAAUAUCAUUCACCACAGAUUUCCCUCCAAGAACUCCCGAAGUCAGAGAAAUAAACCUUGGUUUGGCCUUGCCUUCAGCAAUGAUCUGCACAGAAACAUCAGUAACAAAGUAUAGAAAUAUGAUGUAUGCAUAACAUCAUCAACAACCAAAGCAAAACAGAUGAAUAUGCAAUAGCAGUGUUUGAAUGAUUCACCUGUGGAUUGUAGCGGCCAAUACCACUUUCUGACAGGAAUUUGUCCAGCACAUCAGUGUGAGAAUUUAUUUGCCCAUAAUAAACUUGCUCUUGUAUUCUGGGAAGCUCAUCAUUCAUGGCGUUCAUAAGAACCUCCUAAUGAAAAUAAAACCAAAGUUUCUUAGCAGGGAAAAUAAUUUCCAUUACCAGAGGUCAACAUUACCACAACAACCAUCUUUAACUAAACAAAAGGAGGUCAAAGAAAAAUUUGCUUUAGUAUUACAGAUUUGCUUCUCCUCAAAUAAUUUUUUUUUAUUCAAGCACAUUUCACAAUAAGAUUUGGCUAUGAAAACUGUAAAGCAACAUCUUAUGAUAAUGUAUUAAAAGCUGCCCAAGUGCAAGUAUGCAAUGCAACAGAAAAUAUUAGAAUUACCUCACUAGAAUCAAAGACAAGACCGUUCAUUAAGAGGCAACACUGCAACUUGUUCAAACCCAGCUUAAACACGAACAUGGAGCUUUCUUGUGACAGUUCCUUAUAGGUUUGCUCCUUUGCCAGUUUUAGCAAUAUAUCUUGAGGAGGGGUUUUUACCUUUGGUCUACACACAUGGAAUAAUAACAUGUAGUAAGGAGGUCAUUGAUUGAAGGAAAAGGAAGCCCAGAUCUUCUAAAAGAAUUUGUAAUGCACAUGGAGAGACAUCAUGAUAGUGCAAAAAAGUUGAAAUUGCUCUGUUAACCAGAAAAACCCAUUAAAACUCACAAUAUGGUAUCCACAAAUGCUCCGUCCACAUGGUGUGUUUCAGGAACAUCAUCUUCAGAAUCUGACUCCAUGCGUAAUCUGUUUACCUGCCACACAUAUAUGAAAUUGCUUGUUAACAAAAAUCAAAAUGUACUAAAUAAAAGCAACGCACAUACAACAACAUGAAAUAUGUUUACCAUCCAACAAAGACCAUAUGCUCCUACACUUAAAAGAAUGGCAGUGAGGGAGGAAACUGUUCCGAUUUAAGCUAGCAAAAAAGGAGGGUCUAUUGAAACCUAAAAGAAAUUAAGUAAUAAGGUGGCUUGAUUAUUGACUUCAUCAAUCAAAGUGUCUUUUGGGUCAAGCAUAAGCAUCCACAGUAGAUUUCUUUGUUUAUAGUUUAAUGUAUUAACUUAAGGGUAAUUUUGUAAGAAGGGGCAGAAUUGCAACUUCUGCAAGUUCCUGGAAAGCAGAAAGUUUUGGUCAUUUUCAGGUUUAGUAUAAGAUUUGAUGUUAUCAGAAUGUGGUUUCUUAGCCUUCAAUAAUUUAUUCCAAUUCAGUUGUUUUCCUAGUCAUGUUAGGAUUAGCUAUGCCACUUCAGUUUAGAAGUAGUAGUGUGAUAAGCCGUCCUAAUUGUUGGGCCAUUCUGUCACACCCGACACUAAUCACUAUAAAUAGAGAUGCAAUGUCU
RNAcentral lists this long non-coding RNA (14355 nucleotides) under Populus trichocarpa (black cottonwood). Its description in RNAcentral is "long non-coding RNA (PTRI_LNC000848)". Lineage: Eukaryota; Viridiplantae; Streptophyta; Magnoliopsida; Malpighiales; Salicaceae. The record is from RNAcentral.